AGAGCAUCGAGGCAUGUCAUGGAAAUAAGAAUCUUAGUCAAGCCAUGUGUUUGAAAUUUGGCUGCUGCUAUUUCCAAGGAGAAAAUGAUAAGAUAACAUGCCACACUCCUUUAGUAGAUGUCAUUCAGCUGACCCUUCGCUUGUUUAUCUUUGGGAUUGUCUGCUUGAUUCUACUGGCCUGCAUUCCUGUCUGUUGCUGCGUCAGUUGCCAAGAAAGCAAGCUCACUAACAAAUUACGAGGCAACUCGGAGGUCACCAAGAUCCUGCUUAGUCAGAAUGACACCCUGGAAAACAUCGAUGAUGUGAUCGAGAGCUUAAUACCGAAAGAUGAAAAGAGAAAGAUGAAGAAGAAAAAGAAGAAAAAGGGUAAUCAUUUCAUCACUGAUCACCUUAAAAAAGAAAUGAUGUUGCCUUCUGAAAUGCAGAGAAUCAAAGGGAAGUGGCCACUUGGCCUUGCUCACUGGGGCCACUGGCAACCUGGGAAUGUUAGCAGAGGCAAAAAAGAGCCCAUGGGAUUGCAGGCAGG
Molecule: long non-coding RNA, 526 nt
Filed under: Phascolarctos cinereus (koala)
Lineage: Eukaryota; Metazoa; Chordata; Mammalia; Diprotodontia; Phascolarctidae
Description: lncRNA (ENSPCIG00000022510.2)
Source: RNAcentral